This 1169-nucleotide long non-coding RNA is filed under the name Homo sapiens (human). Its description in RNAcentral is "long non-coding RNA NONHSAT117965.2". The record is from RNAcentral. Lineage: Eukaryota; Metazoa; Chordata; Mammalia; Primates; Hominidae.
UCAGCAAACGCAGACCCUGGGAAGUCAUGGUUUCUCAUACACCAUCAUUUCUUUGUAGCAACUUCACAUCUGGUUCUAUCAAGAGGAAUCCUUGUGGGUUAGGUGCCUUUGGAAAGAUGUUUGUGUACUUCAGAGGAUGGGAAAUCUAUUUUAAAGUACACUUCAAAGCCCUGACUUUAUAAGGUUCUUAAGUAUUGCCGGUUCCCAAACAUUGCCAGUUGAUACAUAGAAAUCUAGAUAUUAGAUUCAGCUUUAUCCUCUGGAUAUAACAUGACAAUUGUUAAAACUUUUCUCGCUUCCAACAAUGAUGCAUAAAAUGAUGACAUACCAAAGCAAAGCCUUGAGCAAUCUUGAGAGAAUCCCAGGGGCAUAUUUUACUCUGUUGAACAUGUAGUCUGACAUUGAGGGACCAAUGUUGAGUGCCGUUCAAGAAAGUUUGGUGGGGAUCCAUCCGUUUCCUUAGUGAGCAAUGUUUCCUCAGUUGAAUGUGAUCAGUUUUCCUAUGUAGAAACUAGAGAACAUUACCUAAUCCCUGGUUUCCAUAACAACCAUUGAGCACCACCAGCACUGGGGGUGACACUGACAGGUCCUCACAGGACAAGUACUGUUGCCCCAAGUAAGGGCCUGCAGUGGAAGGGAUGCAGAGCUUUAGCAGCAGGAACCUGAAACCUGAAACCUCACCACCAGGCACAGCAUAUAAUCUGCCACUUCAUGAGAAGUUUAACUUAAUCAUUGAUCCACAAUUGUGACACACUUUUAACCAAAGCCUAAAGGGAAAUGAAGGCCUCAUUACAGGUUCAACACAGUUUACAAACAUCAGCCACAAAGACCCAGACUUAUCUUAGGGAUUGCUUUUGGCCUGGCGGGAUUGAAGAUGGGGAUGCAUUGGAGCUCUGCAGAGAACAAUAUGACCCUCUGUCACCCUGAAGGAAACAGAAGUUCCAUACCAGGCAUCAUAGAAUCUGAUUUUGCCCACACAUACUGCAGGCUCCUGAAGGAGAAAGUUCUCACCGGUACAAACCCUAAAAGUCAGUUUUCAGGAACAAAUAGCUCUGUUUACUACUGUGAAAUUUUUGAAUCAAAAAGCAAAUUUAUAAUGUCUAAUAACAACAUAAGUGGGUAGUAGGAUCUUUGGAAGUUUUGGAAUACUGUAGCACAGCGAUGUUUCU